GGGUCGUUAGCUCAGUCGGCAGAGCACCUGACUUUUAAUCAGGGAGUCACUGGUUCAAGUCCAGUACGACCCA
RNAcentral lists this transfer RNA (73 nucleotides) under Candidatus Bipolaricaulota bacterium. RNAcentral's name for it is "tRNA-Lys". It matches the Rfam family "tRNA". From Rfam's summary of the family: Transfer RNA (tRNA) molecules are approximately 80 nucleotides in length. RNAcentral also lists the same sequence under 1 other name. The record is from RNAcentral. Lineage: Bacteria; Candidatus Bipolaricaulota.